Molecule: transfer RNA, 66 nt
Filed under: Trachonurus sulcatus (bristly grenadier)
Lineage: Eukaryota; Metazoa; Chordata; Actinopteri; Gadiformes; Macrouridae
Description: tRNA-Tyr
Source: RNAcentral
GGUAAGGUGGCCGAGUAGGUGGUGGAUUGUAGCUCCACGCACAGAGGUAUAGUCCUCUUCUUAUCA